RNAcentral lists this ribosomal RNA (780 nucleotides) under uncultured Bacilli bacterium. Its description in RNAcentral is "bacterial SSU rRNA". It matches the Rfam family "Bacterial small subunit ribosomal RNA", at positions 591 to 1315 of the family's 1533-position model. The record is from RNAcentral. Lineage: Bacteria; Bacillati; Bacillota; Bacilli.
AUGUAAAAGUACCUCAAUUCAAUCGUGGAAGGUACAUUGAAAUUUUGGGAGCUUAAGUACAGAAGAGGAUAGCGGAAAUCCACGUGUAGCGGUGAAUAAUGUAGAGAUGUGGAGGAUCACCAGUGGCGAAGGUGACUCUAAAGGUCUGUAUCUGACGGAGGGGCGCGAAAGCGUGGGGAAGCAAACAGGAUUAGAUACCACUGAUAGUCCACGCUGUAAAAGAUGAGCGCUAAAUGUUAGGGGGUUUCCUCCCCUUAUUGCUGCAGGUAAAGCAUUAAGCACUCCACGUGGGGAGUAUGGCCGCAUAGCCUGAAAUUCAAAGGAAUUGACGGGGUCCCGCACAAUCGGUGGAGCAUAUGGUUUAAUUCGAAGCAACGGGAAGAACCUUACCAGGUCUUGACAUCUCAAUGACUGGUUUAGAGAUAAGUCUUUCCCUUAGGGGACAUUGGUGACAGGUGGUGCUUGGUGGUCGUCAGCUCGUGUCGUGAGAUGUUGGGUUAAGUCCCGCAUACGAGCGCAAGCCUUGAUGGUUAGUUGCCAGCAUUUUGUUGGGCACUCUAAGAGAGAGCUGCCGGUGACAAACUCGGAGGAAUGGUGGGGAUGAGCGUCACAUACAAUCAGGGCUCCCUUAUGUGCCUGGGCUAAAUUACGAAAUACCCGCGGCCGACCUGGGCGACCGAGACUGGAUGCUCGGAAAGGUGAAUAGUGGGGAAAUAAUUGUCGUUAUAUAUAGUGAGAAUAAUAAGUAAUAUGUAGUUUUGAUAAUUGUAAGCAAAUAUG